AAUUGCAAAAUCAUUAAUUGCUCUUCUCUUUAAAGUUUCGUUCCAGCUUUGAUACUCCAUCAUUAAUUUCUUUUCUUUUGUUCAUUAUCGUAGCAUAGGAUGAAUAAUAAAUUAAUUGUUGCUAGUUUAAAUUUAGUCAUGAUAUGUUCUUUUCGAUUUUAAUAAUUUAAUUGUAGUGUUAGGCUUAGCAUUUUAUUUUACUUUAAUGUUUUUUAUUUUAUUCGGUUGUGUUUAAUUUUUAUGAAUUUAAUUUAAUUUAAUUUUUCUUGCAAAAACAAUUUCAAACCCCCCUGUGUUAGACCUAAUUCUGAACUGCAGUUGGUCCUUGAGAGACGACCUAGGGAUCACUCCCUAGCUAUACUGCAUUUCUUUAUGCUCAUUAAAUUUGCAUGGGGUGCGACACCCAUCAAAAUUUUGGCGCCGUUGCCGGGGACCAACGGUUCGGUUUUAGGUCUUUUGUUGUGUUAGUGUGUGUUGUGUUUUGUGAGUUCGUCAUUGUGUGUUGCAUUUAGGUAGCUUUAGUUGCAUAUUUUCAUUGCAUUCUUAUUUUCCCCCUUUUUCUAUAUGUCUACCUAUUUUGAUUCUGUGAAUAAUGCUUAUUCUGUCAGUGCCUAUGAUUAUGAUUCUCCUUCUGGAUGUUACUCUGAUGAUUGU
RNAcentral lists this long non-coding RNA (654 nucleotides) under Vigna radiata. Its description in RNAcentral is "long non-coding RNA (VRAD_LNC018379)". Lineage: Eukaryota; Viridiplantae; Streptophyta; Magnoliopsida; Fabales; Fabaceae. The record is from RNAcentral.